Suncus etruscus (white-toothed pygmy shrew) is the source of this 447-nucleotide non-coding RNA. The record is from the annotation of a RefSeq genome assembly. Lineage: Eukaryota; Metazoa; Chordata; Mammalia; Eulipotyphla; Soricidae.
AUGAGACUGUGGGGUCUUCUCCUCUGCCUUGGGACAGCUGCCCCAGGUGUCCUGUCCCAGGUGCAGCUGCAGGAAUCAGGCCCAGGACUGGUGACCCCCUCCAAGACACUCUCUCUCACCUGCUCUGUCUCUGGAUUUUCCAUCACAACCAGUGGUUACUGCGGGAGCUGGAUCCGCCAGCCAACAGAGAAGGGCCUACAGUGGUUGGGGUGCAUAUGUUAUGAAGGAAGCACUUACUACAGCCGAUCUGUGAAGAGCCGCACUUACUACAGCCCAUCUGUGAAGAGCCGCAUCUCCAUCUCCAGAGACACAAACCAGAACCAAUUCUCCCUGCAGCUGAACUCUGUGACCCCUGAGGACACAGCUGUGUAUUAUUGUGCAAGAGACACUGUGAGAGGAAGUCAGUGCAAGGCCAGACACAAACCUGAGGAAGAUAUAGGAGUAUAG